RNAcentral lists this ribosomal RNA (358 nucleotides) under uncultured soil bacterium. RNAcentral describes it as "bacterial SSU rRNA". It matches the Rfam family "Bacterial small subunit ribosomal RNA", at positions 26 to 382 of the family's 1533-position model. The record is from RNAcentral.
AGAACGAACGCUGGCGGCAGGCUUAACACAUGCAAGUCGAACGGGCCCUUCGGGGGUCAGUGGGCAGACGGGUGAGUAACACGUGGGAACGUACCUUUCAGUUCGGAAUAACCCAGGGAAACUUGGGCUAAGACCGGAUACGCCCUUUUGGGGGAAAGAUUUAUCGCUGAGAGAUCGGCCCGCGUCUGAUUAGCUAGUUGGUGAGGUAAAGGCUCGACCAAAGGCGACGAUCAGUAGCUGGUCUGGAGAGGAUGAUCAGCCACAUUGGGAUGAGACAACGGCCCAAACUCCUACGGGAGGCAGACAGUCGGGGAAUAUUGGACAAGUGGGACGCAAAGGCCUAGGAUUCCCGAAGGCC